CGUGUAGGCGGUCAGGUAAGUGGAAUGUGAAAUGCCCCGGCUCACCCGGGGACCGGGCAUCCCAAACUGCCUGGCUUGAGUAUGGGAGAGGAUGGAGGAAUUCCUGGUGUAGCGGGUGAAAUGCGUAGAUAUCAGGAGGAACACCGGUGGCGAAGGCGUCCAUCUGGCCCAAUACUGACGCUGAGGCGCGAAAGCUAGGGGAGCAAACGG
RNAcentral lists this ribosomal RNA (210 nucleotides) under uncultured Latescibacterota bacterium. RNAcentral describes it as "uncultured Latescibacteria bacterium partial 16S ribosomal RNA". It matches the Rfam family "Bacterial small subunit ribosomal RNA", at positions 568 to 775 of the family's 1533-position model. The record is from RNAcentral. Lineage: Bacteria; Pseudomonadati; Candidatus Latescibacterota.